Molecule: ribosomal RNA, 362 nt
Filed under: uncultured Nitrobacter sp.
Lineage: Bacteria; Pseudomonadati; Pseudomonadota; Alphaproteobacteria; Hyphomicrobiales; Nitrobacteraceae
Description: partial 16S ribosomal RNA
Rfam family: Bacterial small subunit ribosomal RNA
Source: RNAcentral
CCAAGCGGUGGAGCAUGUGGUUUAAUUCGACGCAACGCGCAGAACCUUACCAGCCCUUGACAUGCCGGGGACGGACUCCAGAGAUGGAGUUCUCCCUUUCGGCUGGACCGCAGACGGGCGGUGUGUGGGUGUCCUCCUCUCGUGGCGAGAUAUGGUGGGUUAACCCCCACCACGCGCGCCCCCCCCCCCCUUUUUUGCUACCUUUUCUUGUGAACUCUCUAAAGACAGUGCCGGAGAUACCCCGCGAAGAGGGGGGGGAUGACCUCAACUCCUCGUGGCCCUUACGGGGUGGGCUACACACGUGCUACAGUGGGGGAGACAGUGGGAAACGAAGACGCGCCUCCUAACAUAUCUCAAAAAAA